ACGACAGUGGUGGGUACAUCUCCUUGUCUUUUCUUUUGCCUGAAUUGUAGUUACUAGAUGAUUUGGCAUCCUCAUCUAAUGUCUAGUGUGCUUCUGUCUCUUCACUCCUCCAAGCUUCCUGCCCAGUUAGUUUGACUAUUUUCCUCACUGCUUCCAACAACCAAGAAAAUUGGUUGAUACCAAUGUUCUCCAAAUAAACUUUGUAAUUUGCCACGAUGUUGCUGAUGCAAAUUUUGACAAGCGCUUCUUUAUCGUUCUCAUCAUAGCAGUCUAGAGCCAGGUCCCGGAACCUGGGCACGAAGUCCAUGGGAUCUUCCCCAUGUUUUUGGCGAGUGUUCUUGAGUUGAGUGGUAGUAACUCUUUCCUCAUGCUGGAAGUAUUUCUUACAGAACUUGUUUGCCAAAUCUUCCUAAGAGUGAAUGGAGCCUAGUGCCAAUGUUGUGUACCACGUAUAAGCACGAUCGGUAAGCCUUUUUGAAAACUCUCGGAGUCGGAGAUUAUAAUCACCAGCAUGUGGUCCCAAAGCGUCAAUGAAUCAGUUGACAUACUUUUUUGGUGCCUUAUAGCCUUUAGGAUACGGUUGCUAGAGUAAGUUUGAUGGAUACGGUGGCUGAGG
RNAcentral lists this long non-coding RNA (616 nucleotides) under Prunus persica (peach). RNAcentral describes it as "long non-coding RNA (PPER_LNC003264)". The record is from RNAcentral. Lineage: Eukaryota; Viridiplantae; Streptophyta; Magnoliopsida; Rosales; Rosaceae.